AAAACGACUCUCGGCAACGGAUAUCUCGGCUCUCGCAUCGAUGAAGAACGUAGCGAAAUGCGAUACUUGGUGUGAAUUGCAGAAUCCCGUGAACCAUCGAGUUUUUGAACGCAAGCUGCGCCCAAAACCUUCGGGUCGAGGGCACGUCUGCCUGGGUGUCACGC
RNAcentral lists this ribosomal RNA (164 nucleotides) under Breynia cf. retusa Van Welzen 2006-3. Its description in RNAcentral is "5.8S ribosomal RNA". It matches the Rfam family "5.8S ribosomal RNA". Rfam says of the family: 5.8S ribosomal RNA (5.8S rRNA) is a component of the large subunit of the eukaryotic ribosome. It is transcribed by RNA polymerase I as part of the 45S precursor that also contains 18S and 28S rRNA. Functionally, it is thought that 5.8S rRNA may be involved in ribosome translocation. Lineage: Eukaryota; Viridiplantae; Streptophyta; Magnoliopsida; Malpighiales; Phyllanthaceae. The record is from RNAcentral.